This is a long non-coding RNA of Callithrix jacchus (white-tufted-ear marmoset), 3530 nucleotides long. RefSeq lists it as uncharacterized. The record is from RefSeq and is a predicted model, not a curated record. Lineage: Eukaryota; Metazoa; Chordata; Mammalia; Primates; Cebidae.
CAAGGAAUGGGACUAAUCCAAGAAUUUGUUACUAUGGUAACAAAUGAGUCCCCAAACAACUCUCUGAAUCUGGUCCUGAUGGCCAGCUGGCAGCUUGAGCAUUCUUAACGUGUAGUCUCAGCGGUAACACCCUUGAAGAAUAGAGUGUGAGGGAGUCACUCUUGAUUCCUUCUGACCGUAAUUGGCAAAUGCCGUUUAUACUCACAGCCCAUUGGCUAGAACUGAUCACAUAUCCCCAAUGUAACUGCAAUGCAAGGGCAUCUAUGUAGGUGAGCCACGGAACAUACACAUGUCUUACUUGAUUAAAAACUGGAGAGAGUGAAGGAAAAAAAGUGUGGGAUUCCUGGAAUAACCACUGCCAAGAUCUGAGGAUGGAUCAACAAAAGUAAAUGGCUGUUUUGCCCUUAUGGCUGCCUGAAAACACACACAUAUUUCAGAGAUGGCUGCAUAUUUCGUGGUAGCUUUGUAUUCCAAGGGCUGAGUUCUGCAAACAAACUGAGCAAAGUACAGCAUGUGCCCCUUCAGGUGGUUUUUGGAGCUCAUCAGGCCUGUGAAGUGCCUCGCUCCCACUUUGCUUUCUGCUAUGAUUGGAAACUUCCUGCGCACCCCGUUCCCAGAAGCAGAAGCUGCUAUGCUUCCUGUACAGCUUGAAGAACUGAACCGUGAGCCAGUUAACAUUUUUUCUUUAUAAAUUACCCAGUCUUAGGUAUUCCUAUAUAGCAAUGCAGGAAUUGACUCAUACAGACAGUAAUCUUUCUGAUGAAGAGAAUGUUUUAGAAAUUGAAACACCCUCUUGUCACUUGAUACUGGAAAGUGGGAGAAAUGGGGAGAUGCUCAAAGAGUAUAAACUUUCAGUUAUAAGAUGCGUAAGCUCUGGGGAUCUAAUGUACAGCAUGGUGAUUAUAGUUAAUAAUCUGUUUACAUGAAGAUUGUUAAGAGAGCAGAUUUUUAGUGUCCUCAUCUCUUUCUUUUUCUCUCAUACACACAUGUAAGUAUGGGUGGUAAUGGAUGUGUUAAUUAAUUUGUGGUAAUCACACAAUGUAUAUGCAUAUCAAAUCAUCACAUUGUAUCCCUUAAAUAUGUUUAAUAUUUUGGCAAUUAAAUAUUUUAAAAUAAAAACAAAGCCAGGGCUGCUAAAUCACUCACACUAUAGAAGUCACAACACACAAAACAAACCUGACUUAGCUCAUGGGAGCUACUACAUUAUUUGUUGAUGCAUUUGCUUUAUGGCCUAGAAUGGAAUUUUAAUAAACAUAUGCUCCGGUAGACACACUCAGAACCAGUAUUGCAUAUCUGGGUUGCUGCUUUCCUGCCAAGCCUUAGCACUCUUCACCUCCCUCAGGGCCCCCAGGAAGGCAGAAUGCACACAUCACUACUUAAAGUCUUUCUUGCCUUGGGUGCUUUCUCCACAAAUACCAACAUAUAUAUGUCAAGUAUGAGCAGGUAAACCCGCUCUCUGCCAUCUCUCUUAGCUUUAUUUUCAUCCACAGACAUAAAGAUAAACCAUCCAAUUGGAAAUCACCAUACUCUAAUGCAAAUACACUGAAAUACUUAGCAGAGUCUAAAUUCAUGAGUCUAUGAUUGUUCUGUUUCAAAAGAAGGACCAAUCUCAUGAAUUUAAAGAUUUGCCUUACAUAUUAGGACCCAGUGAUUUUUGUGUGGUGAGGGAUUCUAACAUUUGAUACAUUAUGAUAUGACUGUACAAUUUAUUACUUGGUUGAUAAUAGGUGUCAUCCUUUAAAGUGGGACCACUUUAAAACUGACGUGUGAUUUAGAAUUUUUACUGUCAAUGUUCGCCUCACUUGUAUUAUAAACUUCUUGUAUUUAAGGAUUGUGUAUUUUGUACCUUUUUUUUUUGUAUCCCUAUACUCUCUCAGUCUUUGCCUUAUCAUGGAGCUCAGAAAAGUCCUAUACAUAGGAAAUCUUUAAUAAAAGAUUUUCUUUAAGUACUGUGGGACUAGAUUAUUCUGAACACAUGGGUUCAAACCAGUUUAAAGCAGCUAGAUGUAUUUUUGUUAGCUCCUUAUCUAUCCUAAGAUUUUUUUUCUUUUAUUGUACUUUGGGCUCUGGGGUACAUGUGCACAUCCUGCAUCCUGCAGAAUUGUUGCAUAGGUACAUACAAGCCAUGUUGGUUCGCUGUCUUAAAUCUCUCACUAAAUUACUUGCUUUAUACGUUUUAGUGUGAGUAUGCUAUCAGGAUGAUUUGACUGCAAACAACAGAAAAAUCAAACAAAAAUAGCCUAAACCAAAAAGAAGAAUGAUUAUUUCACAUUCCAAGAAGUUUUGGAGGUGAAUGGUUAAAUGGCUAAUUAGUUUAGAAGCUCAACAAUAUCACCCAGCACCCAUUUUCACUAUGGCUAAAGCCCUGGAUCCCUCAGGCAUGCACCAUGGCAGCAGCAGUUGCAGUAAAGACACCCUUACACCACAAUGCUCCAUGACCAGAGAGAGGUCUCCUUUCUCCUGCCCCUUUCCAGAGGUUCCGUGGAAGACUUCCUUUCACCUCCCGUUUUUCAUUCCUAAAGCAGUCCCUGGCAACAGGGAUCGAUUUAUCACAAUGGGUGCAGAGCAAUUAAGAUUCACCACUAGGUGAGUACUUCGGAAAACACUUGGCCACCCAGUAUAUAAACAAAUCUGGUACUCUUGUCAAGAAAGAGGUGAGUAAUUCCCAGCAGCCAAUAGUGUCUGCGACAAGUGAAAUAUCUCACCAGAGAAAACUGAGUAGGUACUACAUGAUUGUGUGUUUUCUCUGUUUUCUGCCUUUGCCUUUUCCAUUUGGUAAGACUCCCCCAUGUUCCUCUUUGUGGCUCUUCCCUGGAUUUGUUCAGAUACAGGUGGCAAUAUGCCAGAAAGGUAUGACCCCAGUCCUAGGAGUCAAAUUCGUGAUGAGCCUUGCAUAGUCAGGACAAUCCCAAUUCCAUUUGCCAGUGAAUCAUUUAGGGAGCUCCAUGUGACUCAGUUCUAGUCACCAAGGUGGAAGAGAAAUUCUCUUGAGGGACACCUGGGAAAGAUUUUUCUGCCUGAUAAAACAGGAAGUAAGCAAGGGUUCUGCUACCCCAUUGGCUUUUUGCCUUUGAACUUGGCUGUGGGAAGACAUGAUGCUUAGAGUUGCUGCAGCUAUCUCUGACCUUGGGCAAAACAACCCAAUACGCAGGAGGGCAGAACAAGCAGCAAGAAGAAUCCUGAGUCUUGUGGAUGUUGUUGAGCAGCUGAACCAACCCUACGACUGCUUCCCUCCAGACUCCUUAGCUUUGCAAACCAUGAAGCUCUAUUGUUUAAGCCAGGCGUGGAUGGCUAUUGUCACUUGCCAUUGAAAGCACCAGGACAGAGUCCUCUUUCUAGAAACAGAGCCACAAAACCUUUAUUAUGGUAAAUGCACAUAAAGAAUAUAAAAGUUUUCUUUAUAUUUCUCUUUAAAGUAAUAGCUGAAGUCUGCCUCAGGUAAAAAGACAAAUAGAAAACAUAAAUGUAUAUAUAAUUCAAGAACAAUAAAUAUUCAUUUUAAAAUGAAUAAAUGUUCUGUAGGAUACUGU